GCCCCGGCGGCGGACGACUGCGGGCUGCGCGCUGUGGGCAACCGGGGCUGCCGUCCCCGCGGUCCCUGCGGUCCCCGCGGUCCGCGCCGGGCUUCCGACUGCGCCCGUGCUCACUGCGCAGGCGCGCACCCGUGGGGCGGGGCCGGCCCGGGGAAGGGGCCGGACGGGGUGGGGCCUGCUGAGUGGGCGGGACCUAAGCGGGGCUGACCCGGGGAAGGGGCCGGAUGGGGGUGGGGGAGCCUGCGGGGUGGGCGGGUCCUUGGAAGGGGCCGGCCCUGGGAAGGGGCCGGUUGGGGUGGGGCCUGACGGGCGGGGGUGGGCCCUGUGGGUGGGCGGGGGGUAGGCGGGGCCGACCUGCGGAGCCGGGGAGCCGGUUCACGACCUGGGUCCGGCCGGCGGGUGGAUGGGUCGGGUGGUCCGACGAAGCAAGCACAAGACCUCCACACCACCGACGCAAGGUGUCUGCACCUGAGGGGCUCAGGCGCGUGCCUGUGCAGACGGACUCCUCCCACCGGCCCUGGGAUCUUGCCCGUUGUUCCGUGCGACCCGGCAAGCGUGCGGCACAGCCCCAAGUACUCAGAGUAGGGCCUGGAAGGGACCCCAUGUGGAGUCAGAGGGGCGGGGAAGGUGUUGGUGUCUCGGGGUUGUUCCCAGGGUGAGGUCCUGGGCCCCAGUCUGGGUGUGCAUGGCGGAGGAUAUGGCCGUGGGUCUGGGCGGGCCGGCCUCCCGCGUGCUCCCACCAGCUGUGCGUGGGCGGCUCUGUCUGCAGGGUCUUCGGAGACGCGGACGCCGGCCCCCGUCCUUAUCACCACAGGUCUCCCAGCCAGCGCUGGCCAGGGCCUUCAACCCAAGGGGACUCUGCUGCCCCGCCCGUUCGCGUGUUCUCCUUGCAGGAGGAGCACCCUCCUCAUCUUCCCCUUGCGGAGCCCAAGGGUUUUGCCUCCUUCCAUCCGGGCGACCCAACAGGAAAAUUUCAGGUGGAAAAAGCACGCCAUGCCGCAGUGGUCCUGCUGCUGGGCCCCACACCCGAAAUUCUACAGCGUCAGCGCCGAGGCCUCAGCCGCCAGCAACCAGCAUGAUUUCCUCUCCCACCACUGGCUCCACUCCCAGGGACAGCUCCACUGCUCCAGGCUGCCCAGGGCAGGCCUGGCCCUGAGCCCAGGACCAGAGCAGCGCCCUCCUCCAAGCACAGGUGAGGCCUCACCAUGGCAACGCCCUCCUCCAAGGACGGGGAGGGACACACAGAUCCAGCGUCUUUCAGUCUCUGUUGGGUCUGGGGGCAACGCAUUCCCCCCCAGACCUCCCAGCCACCUGGGGGACGACCGGAGUCUCAGUGUGGGCAUCCCCGGACUUGCGAAGGGAGCUUCCAGCCACACCACCCGUCCCACCCUGUGACAGGGCUCCACGCAGCCCCGCUGCCCUUGGCCCUCAGCCCUGGUGACGGAACGAAUCCAAGCUCAACCCACCAGCAGCGGGCCCCCCGAGUGGCCUGUUCCCACACAAUCACACUGUCCAAGCAUCGCCUAAAACCCCCGCUUAGGAGUGAAGGACUUUAGGACUCUCUGGUCUCACACGAAUACACUGAAAUCCUGCACGUCUCCAGGCGCACGAAGGCCACGCACGGGGUCAGGGAGAGCUGGUUCUUUCGGGCUGACACACACAAGGGUCAGUCUCACAGCCUGGCCCUGAGGGCGCCCAGAGGGCUGAGCUGAGACACAGACGGGCCUCCUCGGGCAGCCUUCUCCAAACUCCAGUCCAGCAAGUGGGCCUCCAGGCGGGUCUCUGUCUCGUUCCAGGCCUGAAUCUCCCUUUAUUCAAGCACCUUGGCCAACUCACCCCCAUGCCAGCUUCUAAAGCUUUCCACUGCCCUUUCCUCUGUUAAAGGGGACGCGUGCUGCUGCUGGGCACUCGAGAUGCCCUGCACGUGGGAUUCUUUAAUAAUGCUCCUCUGCUCUUGGCCUCCCCGUGUGGGCCUGCCUCUUUUCUCUGGGGUCUGUGUCCUUUGAUCUAACCACGCCUGAUUGAAACAAGUCCCAAGGACAGAGUUUAGGGCAGUCUUCAGGAGGCUUUCUCUUCUGAAGUCCCCACGGGGCCUCUGUCAUGUCAAAUCUCCCCCCGACAAGGACAUUAGGGCCCAGUCAGAUAAUCCAGGAUCAUCUCCUCACUGUAAGACCCUUAACUCAAUCGCAGCCGCGAAGUCCCUUCGGGCAGCAGCUCCACUCAGGGCACAGGGCGGCCAGCCACCCGCACACCGCUGUGCCCCUCGCAACUCCUGGCAACUGUGUUUAGGGGCUUCCGUCUCAGGACCUGUCUCAAGCCUCACGAGCGCUCUUGUGUGUGGGGGUCGCUCUCCAUCGGGUUUGCGGACGACAGACACUUCUGCCACACGUUCUUCCUUCCCAUGAGGAUCCCUGACCCCCUGGAAGGACACCAGUUACCAUCAAGGAGGGUCGGUGGUGACGAAUGUCCUCGGAGCUGGACCCUGGGAAGUGUCUCUUUUGACCUCGUCUCAAAGCACACUUUUUGCUGGGUUUAGACGACCUGGCUGACAGCAAUCGACUUUGUUUUCCUUUCCCUUCCUCUGGCUCUGGUAGCUUCUGAUGGAAGCUCGGUGCUCUUCUCGCUGUCUGGCUCUUUGAGGUAAGGGGUCCUUUUCUCCUCCAGCUGCGUUAAGGCUCCCCCUCUGGCUUUGCCAUCUGCACUUCACCUGGACGCUUCUGGGUUCUGCUGUCUUUGUCCUUCUCCUCCGGCUGCGCAGCUCGGGUCCAUGCAGUGGCUGGAUGGCGUCGGUCACUCUUGGAAAGUGAUCAGCUCCUCUAUGUCUUCACCCCAGGGGACAGCAGACAAGGGUGGACUCCGGGCGGGCUCUGCUGUCGAAGGAGGUCAAUGUGGGGGCCGGAGGCCCCUCCCUGAGCCCCGAGGUGUCUGGUGGAGGAAGUGAAGUGGCACAGAAACUCGCAGUGUGCGUGUGCGAUUCGAAGCUGAAACACUUACACUGCUGACCCCACCUCGCCCAACACACAGGCCAGGCUGCCCAGCCGUCCACAGAGAUGUCCGCUGCACUUCUCAAAAGCAGUGUAGACCCCGGACCACCCCGGUUGCUUUACAACAGCUCCUCUCUCAGAAAAACCGCAGGUCCCCACGCAGCUCUGGCCAAAUUCCUAAGAGCCACUAGCCCACCUUCCAAACGGGUCCACAUCUGGUCACCUCCCUGCACCAUCCAGUCGUCGCCGUUUCAGCCAUGGAGCAGCUACCCGGCCGGAGCGUUAGGCUACUUCCCGGCCAGCGGGACGACCUUCCGAAGCCUUGACACGACCCCCCAAGCGCUUUCCAAGAGCCGCCCAGUGCCCGCCGCGCGCGCGGGAAGGGACGCAGGGGCUCGGUUCCCGCCGCCGGAGGGGAAGGAGGGGCGCACACGGCCGGGAGGGGCUCCAGACGGGGGAGCAGGGCACAGCCCUCGGCCUAGAGACGCGCUCUAGCUUCCGACUGCGGGCGCCCACCGCCCGGGACCGGGACUGGGACCGUCCCCACCCGCCCCUCCGGCCGCGCUCCGGCCCCGCCCCGGCCACCACGCCAGCCCCGCAGCUGACCCCGCCUGCCGGGGUCCUGCCGAGCUCCCUCCCCGCGCCGGCGGUCACGUGGCGCGCGACCCGGAGGCGGAACCGGACGGCCGGGCGUGGACCUCGGCUCUCGGAGCGCAGAGCGCCGGGGGCGCCUGCAGAGAUUGG
This 3728-nucleotide long non-coding RNA is filed under the name Bos grunniens (domestic yak). RNAcentral's name for it is "lncRNA (ENSBGRG00000019731.1)". The record is from RNAcentral. Lineage: Eukaryota; Metazoa; Chordata; Mammalia; Artiodactyla; Bovidae.